Molecule: ribosomal RNA, 252 nt
Filed under: uncultured bacterium
Lineage: Bacteria
Description: partial 16S ribosomal RNA
Rfam family: Bacterial small subunit ribosomal RNA
Source: RNAcentral
UACGGAGGAUGCGAGCGUUAUCCGGAUUUAUUGGGUUUAAAGGGUGCGUAGGCGGAAUAUCAAGUCAGCGGUAAAAACUCGGGGCUCAACCCCGUCGUGCCGUUGAAACUGAUGUUCUUGAGUGGGCGAGAAGUAUGCGGAAUGCGUGGUGUAGCGGUGAAAUGCAUAGAUAUCACGCAGAACUCCGAUUGCGAAGGCAGCAUACCGGCGCCCAACUGACGCUGAAGCACGAAAGCGUGGGUAUCGAACAGG